UCGGGAAUUUUGGGCAAUGGGCGAAAGCCUGACCCAGCAACGCCGCGUGAGGGAUGAAGGCCUUCGGGUCGUAAACCUCUGUCGGGAGGGACGAAAGGUCGACGAGCGAAUAGGUCGGCGGCUUGACGGUACCUCCAAAGGAAGCGCCGGCUAACUCCGUGCCAGCAGCCGCGGUAAUACGGAGGGCGCAAGCGUUGUUCGGAAUUACUGGGCGUAAAGCGCGUGUAGGCGGCCAGGUAAGUCGGAUGUGAAAGCCCGGGGCCUAACCCCGGAACUGCACCCGAUACUGCCUGGCUGGAGUCCCGGAGAGGAUGGCGGAAUUUCCGGUGUAGAGGUGAAAUUCGUAGAUAUCGGAAGGAACACCAGUGGCGAAGGCGGCCAUCUGGACGGUGACUGACGCUGAGACGCGAAAGCGUGGGGAGCAAACAGGAUUAGAUACCCUGGUAGUCCACGCCGUAAACGUUGGGUGCUAGACGUCGGGGGUAUUGACCCUCCGGUGUCGAAGCUAACGCAUUAAGCACCCGCCU
RNAcentral lists this ribosomal RNA (527 nucleotides) under uncultured Pseudomonadota bacterium. Its description in RNAcentral is "bacterial SSU rRNA". It matches the Rfam family "Bacterial small subunit ribosomal RNA", at positions 355 to 874 of the family's 1533-position model. Lineage: Bacteria; Pseudomonadati; Pseudomonadota. The record is from RNAcentral.